GUGCUUACUUCGUGCAGCACAUAUACUAAAAUUGGAGCAAUAGAGAUUAGCAUGUCCUCUGCGCAAGGGUGAUAUGAAAAUUUGUGAAGUGUUCCAUAUUUUA
Small nuclear RNA from Phyllostomus discolor (pale spear-nosed bat), 103 nucleotides. Lineage: Eukaryota; Metazoa; Chordata; Mammalia; Chiroptera; Phyllostomidae. The record is from RefSeq and is a predicted model, not a curated record.